CCCCCCUGCCAAUAAAAACUCUCAAGGGGGAUAACGCUGUUAUCCCUAAGGUAAUUUAAUCUUACAAUCAAAAUAAAUGGAUCAAGUAAAUAUAAAUAAAUAUAACAACAAAAAGGAGGGGUUAAAUAAAUCCCUCCCAUCACCCCAACAAAACAUAUUAAACAGCCCAGUGAACCCUCACAAACAGAAAAAGGACCAUAAUAAAUGUUAAACUCUAUAGGGUCUUCUCGUCCCAUAAAAACAUCUAAGAAUUUUAACUCAAAGAACAAAUUCAAUAAACAAUUUAAAAUUAAGACAGCCCAUGCCUCGUCAAGCCAUUCAUACCAGAUCACAAUUAAAGAACUAAUGACUAUGCCUACCUUUGCACGGUCAAAAUACCGCGGCCCUUCAACA
Molecule: ribosomal RNA, 393 nt
Filed under: Reticulitermes banyulensis
Lineage: Eukaryota; Metazoa; Arthropoda; Insecta; Blattodea; Rhinotermitidae
Description: partial large subunit ribosomal RNA
Source: RNAcentral